Molecule: long non-coding RNA, 155 nt
Organism: Pelobates fuscus (common spadefoot toad)
Lineage: Eukaryota; Metazoa; Chordata; Amphibia; Anura; Pelobatidae
Exons: 3
Source: RefSeq, a predicted model, not a curated record
CGAGUGAUCUACCCGAUGGACGCACGCUGUGAGCACAGGAAGUACUGAGCAUCGCGCCAAUCAGAUCUUCCAGCUGUUUCUCCGAGCUCUGGUCACAAUAGGUGAUUGGAGCCGUGUGACGUACCAAUGUUAAGGAAGAGUUCAGUCAGAACUCC